This 253-nucleotide ribosomal RNA is filed under the name uncultured bacterium. RNAcentral describes it as "partial 16S ribosomal RNA". It matches the Rfam family "Bacterial small subunit ribosomal RNA", at positions 524 to 776 of the family's 1533-position model. The record is from RNAcentral.
UACGGGGGGGGCAAGCGUUGUUCGGAAUUAUUGGGCGUAAAGAGCGUGUAGGCGGUCCGGUAAGUCGGCUGUGAAAGCCCGGGGCUCACCCCCGGAAGUGCAUUGGAAACUGGUGGACUCGAGUCCCGGAGAGGAGAGUGGAAUUCCUGGUGUAGCGGUGAAAUGCGUAGAUAUUAGGAGGAACACCGGUGGCGAAGGCGGCUCUCUGGACGGUGACUGACGCUGAGACGCGAAAGCGUGGGGAGCAAACAGG